GCCUGGGUGGCUCAGUCGGUUGAGCAUCCGACUUCAGCUCAGGUCACGAUCUCACGGUCCGUGAGUUCGAGCCCCACGUCGGGCU
This 85-nucleotide transfer RNA is filed under the name Felis catus (domestic cat). It matches the Rfam family "tRNA". From Rfam's summary of the family: Transfer RNA (tRNA) molecules are approximately 80 nucleotides in length. Lineage: Eukaryota; Metazoa; Chordata; Mammalia; Carnivora; Felidae. RNAcentral also lists the same sequence under 1 other name. The record is from Rfam by way of RNAcentral.